AUAUCUCUCCGUACGGGAAGGAUGAGAAGCUUCGACUAAGGUUCGAUUCGAGCGAAAGCGAGAAAGCGUUGCC
RNAcentral lists this small RNA (73 nucleotides) under Salmonella enterica. Its description in RNAcentral is "partial RtT sRNA". It matches the Rfam family "RtT RNA", at positions 1 to 72 of the family's 130-position model. Rfam says of the family: This family represents a bacterial cis-regulatory element known as RtT RNA. The exact function of RtT is unknown although it is thought that it may be involved in changing the cellular response in relation to amino acid starvation. The record is from RNAcentral. RNAcentral also lists the same sequence under 2 other names. Lineage: Bacteria; Pseudomonadati; Pseudomonadota; Gammaproteobacteria; Enterobacterales; Enterobacteriaceae.